GAUGAACGCUGGCGGCGUGCUUAACACAUGCAAGUCGAGCGAAGCACUUUUUUAGAACUCUUCGGAGGGAAGAGAGGGUGACUUAGCGGCGGACGGGUGAGUAACGCGUGGGCAACCUGCCUUACACAGGGGGAUAACAAUUAGAAAUGAUUGCUAAUACCGCAUAAGACCACAGCAUUGCAUGAUGCAGUGGUAAAAACUGAGGUGGUGUAAGAUGGGCCCGCGUCUGAUUAGGUAGUUGGUGGGGUAGAAGCCUACCAAGCCGACGAUCAGUAGCCGACCUGAGAGGGUGACCGGCCACAUUGGGACUGAGACACGGCCCAAACUCCUACGGGAGGCAGCAGUGGGGAAUAUUGCACAAUGGGGGAAACCCUGAUGCAGCGACGCCGCGUGAGUGAGGAAGUAUUUCGGUAUGUAAAGCUCUAUCAGCAGGGAAGAAAAUGACGGUACCUGACUAAGAAGCCCCGGCUAACUACGUGC
RNAcentral lists this ribosomal RNA (480 nucleotides) under uncultured bacterium. Its description in RNAcentral is "bacterial SSU rRNA". It matches the Rfam family "Bacterial small subunit ribosomal RNA", at positions 28 to 508 of the family's 1533-position model. The record is from RNAcentral.